AAGAAGUGUAUGAGGUAACACCUUCCGUUGGUAUCAUGGAAAUAUGUCUCUGUCUCUUAAGGAGCUCAAUUAAUUGAGUGGCUGGUAAGGACUGCAAACCACAGAAGCAGACAAGACGUUUAUCUGACACAAGAAUUAUUGCCUAGAAGUCCUAGCAGGUGAAAAACUCUCUUAUUCCUCUACACAAAGAAACUAAUAUCAGCUUUUGUCUGGUAUGAGAUAAACUACAUAUUUUCUAAAUAAGCAAGACGUUCUAACAGGAAGGGGCAGCAUGCAAUCACACAGCCAUUUAGAUUUGAUCAAGAAGUGAACACAGUGUUUUAAGUCUGUAUAUAAAUGCUUUCAUUUUCAAAAAAAAAUAAACCACAAGUAAUUCACUUGCUGAGAAGUGCUAAUUUCCUCUUUUUUUCUCCAUUUACCAGCUAUUUGAAGUGAACAAAUGAAAAACGGAUCCCAGAAAUAAAUAGAAGGGAGUACUUAAAACCCUGGGAGAGUCACUCUACCAACCUAUAGACCCAGCUGUGGUCACGUGGAAAACCAACCCAACAAUUAACAACCACUUGCCUUUUCUGCCACCUUAUAUCUGAAAUAAACCCUUUGAACAAUAGGGUCAGAAUGAAUGAAGAAGAGAGGAGAAAUGAACAAGCUCAGACCAACACUGGGUACCUGACGUGUUCCUGCAAUCAAGCAACAGAUGGGUCAUGCCCCAGCUCCAAACAGCAGACUGGGAGACUUCAAACUGUCAGGAAGAUGGGGCUUUCUGGUGCCUAGAAAGUGAUCAAACAGCCCUGCCAUCAAAUGCCCUACUUCAUGCUCAACGAACAUUUUAUUAUUAUUAUUAGCUGGCUCUGUCUCCCAAAGAAGUUGUCCCUGACAUCAUGGGUUCACCUGCUUUUUCCCAUCCCAUGUC
This 910-nucleotide long non-coding RNA is filed under the name Gallus gallus (chicken). Its description in RNAcentral is "lncRNA (ENSGALG00010013762.1)". Lineage: Eukaryota; Metazoa; Chordata; Aves; Galliformes; Phasianidae. The record is from RNAcentral.